RNAcentral lists this unclassified non-coding RNA (6303 nucleotides) under Amphibalanus amphitrite. RNAcentral describes it as "uncharacterized LOC122371982, transcript variant X3". The record is from RNAcentral. Lineage: Eukaryota; Metazoa; Arthropoda; Thecostraca; Balanomorpha; Balanidae.
GGGAUGGUGUAUGAGGACCACUCGACCACGGCCGAACAUUUGAAUUGAGGCACCAGGAAUUUGCAAGUCUCGAGCCACAGCUGAUGAACAAAACAAUUUUCUGUAUAUGAUUGGUUUUGGAUCGACCGGCUAAUUUUGAUUAUUUUUUGACUUUUAGUUUAUGGCUGCAUUGAAGAUGAAACUUAUCGGCGAAGAUACAUGAACAUGAAAUUGAUUGUACCUUGAUUUGUUAUUUUCACGAUAAAUUAUACAUCGCAUUGCAGUGACCUUGUUUUUAUAAUUCGAAUUACAUUUCAUCUUCUAGCCAACACUUUGCUUUAGAAUUUGAACUUGAACUUCAAUAAGACUAAAACUAGAAUUAAAGUAACUUGAAGUAGGUAAUUCUAUUUGAUUUUCUUUAAAACUCUAUCAUGGACGGAACGAAGAAACAGGAAGACAUCGACUCAUCAAAGGACAUUAGGAAAACUAAACAAGACCGGGCAAAUGCGAAGAGAAAAUUUAACAGGAAAAUAAUUGGUUUUCAAGAUAUGGUUGAGAGCAAAAGUUUAUUCAUGGCAAUCAAGGCAAAAUUUGAAGAUGUUAUCGACGCAUUCCGUCAGGUAGAAUGCUGUAACGAUUUUGUCACGACGGCAAUCAACGAAACUGGCCCGCACCAUUUAAUCGAUAAGAUGUUGGACGAGUGCGACGAUUAUAUGAUGGAGAUUGAGACAAGUAUGGACAAAGUUAGGACAACAUUUGCGGCUAGAACAAGAGACGAAAAUGUAAAACUGUCGGAAAUUCAUGUAAAACCGUUAAAUUCACCGCAUUUUUCCGGAAAUAUACGCCAAUAUGCCAGUUUUAAGCAGGAUUUCAAUAGACUCAUGACGAAGCAAUAUGGACAAGACCCCUAUGCUCUGCGGCAAUGUUUAUCUGGAGAAGCGUUGGACACUAUUAAAGGGAUUGAAGACAAUUAUUCAGAAAUGUUUAAACGCCUUGAUGCAAAAUAUGGAGAACCAAGAAAAUUAAUAGACGCAAUUGUGUUCGAUAUUCAAAAACUAAAACCAGUACCCGAAGGCGACAGCAGAAAAUUCAUCAACAUGGUUGAUGUAAUAGAACGAAAUUGGCUCGAGCUUCAGCGACUGGGUAUGCAACAAGAAAUGAACAAUACGACGAUGGUAACAAUGAUAGAGAAAUUACUUCCAAGAACGCAACAAAGGGAAUGGGUGACAAAAAUGGAUAAUCAAGGAAAUACUAGCAAAAUCGGAGAUUCAACGUUCCAAGCUCUUCUUUCGUAUCUACUCCAAGAAAAGAGAGUAAUGGAAUAUAUGGAGAAUGACGUGAGACAGACCUCCAAUGUAAGCAGACGCCAGGUAAAUCAAACGAUAAAUUCUGCGGAAGCGAAUUCUAGUGAUCAAACGACUACGAAUGACGCGACUGAGAAUGAUAUGAAGAAAAUUUACAAUCAAAUUCAAAAUAUGGCGGAACGAAUGGAAGAUAUAUUUAAAGGCAAUACAGGAAGCAACAAUGCCGGAAAACGGGGCACCGGUGUCACACAAAUGAAACAUAUUGAACGCCGGGCUUGCUGGAUCCAUAAAACUGACUCUCAUCCAAUCAACGAAUGCAACGUGUUUUUAAAUUCAAAUCACGAAGAGAAGCUACGCCUGCUGCGUCAGAACGGAGCCUGCUUUAAUUGUUAAAAGCAAGGUCACAUUGCGGCUUCAUGUACAACAGUAAACCAAUGCGAUAGGUUGAAUCAUUUACGACAAACAUGUGGAAAAAGACAUCAUCCAUAUCUUCAUCUUGACCAACUUCCUACAAGGGAUAUGCCUCCACAAAAUUCUAUUCAUAUAUCGAGCAACAAAAGACAACAAAAUUUACUUGCUGUGAGUUACCUUCGGUGCAAUGACAGGAAUUUAAUAGCCAUGUGGGAUUCCGGCGCCAAUGUGUCAUUGAUAACCCAUAAAGCGGCAUCGACAUUGAAUCUCACAGGUCACGAUACGACAUUGACGAUAACGAAAGUUGGAAACGAAACGCAAGAUUACAACAGCAAACGCUAUGUUGUUCCGUUGAUUGAUGCCAACGGAAAGCAAUGGGAGGUUCACGCGUACGGCAUUGAAGAAAUUACAUCCGCAUUAGAUAAAUUCGACGUAUCUGCAGUGGCACCUUUAUUCCAAAAUAUCCAGCCUAAAGACAUUGAACGACCUCACGGCAACGUUGAUAUGUUAAUUGGCAUUGAUUGCUGUGCGAUCAUGCCAAUUGUUACUGAAACGAUUGGCAAUCUUCAACUAUUAAAGAAUCAAUUUGGAUAUUGCAUUCGCGGUUGUCUCACUGGAGAAGUGGCUUCUUCCAGACAAGUUCAGAUCAUCCGUGGUUCCAAUAUUUGUGAUGUAAACAAUAUUUACGUUGAACCAUUGACCAGUUUGAAAAGAAAAUUAGACGAAUAUUUCACGGUUGAAAAUCUUGGGACAUGUUGCACUCCUCGAUGCGGUGGUUGCAAGUGUGGCAAAUGCGCUACAGGUACCGGUUGCUACAGCCUACAAGAAGAACGGGAAUUGCGACUGAUAAAGGACGGGCUAGUGUACGAUCACAAGCGGGGAAAAUUCACUGCGCAUUAUCCUUGGAUUAGAGACCCAAAUGAACUCCCUAACAACGUAACCAUCGCCGAAGCAAGAAUGAGAGCCACGGAAAGAAGGUUGCUCAAGAUGGGAAAUGAUCAUGCAAAAGCCUACGACGCGCAAAUACGAGAUAUGGUAGCAAGAGGAGUAGCUAGAAAAUUAUCCAGAGAAGAAAUGCUACACUUUGAAGGGCCGAUACACUAUUUAUGUCACCAUGAAGUUGUAAAGCCCGAUUCAGUAUCAACACCCCUGCGGAUUGUCUUUAACGCGUCAGCGUCAUUCAUGGGACAUGUAUUGAAUGAUUACUGGGCGAAAGGUCCAGAUUUUAUUAACAACCUUUUCGGAGUAUUACUUCGAUUCAGAGAAGAAUCAAUUGGACUGGUGGGGGACAUCAGCAAGAUGUACCAUUCCAUUGAAUUGGCUGAGAGGGACCAGCACGUGCACCGUUUCUUGUGGCGGAACUUGAAUAUAAGCCAGGAACCCACGCAUUACAUGAUGCUAGCAGUGACAUUCGGAGACCGACCAAGCGGAACAAUCUCGAUGGUAGCGUUAAAUUUGAUAGCCGAAAUGAAUCGAAGCAUAUGUGAAAGGGCCACGGAAAUGAUAUUGAAAAACAGCUACGUUGAUGACCUGAUCCAGUCAGGGCCACGGUAUGAAGACGCGCAUUCCCUAGCAGAAGAGGUGCAAGGUAUGUUGCAAAAGGGCGGUUUUAAUGUAAAGCACUGGAUUAUAUCUGGCGAUGACAGCGUUUCCGCAGCAAAAUCUGACGUUACACUUUUGAAUGUUGAUGAAGAAAAGGUGCUCGGCAUGCGUUGGUUGCCUAAGCAGGAUCAUUUCAUGUUUCAAGUCAAAAUCAACUUUUCGCAACGGCAGAAAAGGGUACCGACUGGACCUGACGUAACGAAAACGAACAUCGAUGCUGUGUUUCCAAGGGUAUUAACCAGAAGAAUGGUUUUGGGCCAGGCAGCGCGUAUUUAUGACCCUCUAGGGUUUAUUGCGCCAGUUACGAUAACUUCCAAAAUUCUACUCAGAACAUUGAUAUCCAGAAAGGCCAAUGAACAAGAAACUUCGACAUCAUCUGUAUGGGAUGACCCAAUACCUGAGGAAAGCAGAAACGACUGGAAGUUGUUUUUCAAGGAUUUAUACGAAUUAGAGAAUGUGACCAUUGCAAGAUGUUUGAAGCCAAAAGAAGCCAUCGACGAUCCAGUUUUAAUCGUCUUCUCUGACGCCAGUAUCCAAGCUUAUGGAGCGUGUGCAUAUGUGCAAUGGGAACUUAGUACUGGAAAAUAUGAAGCAAGGCUAAUUGCAGCAAAACACAGGAUAGCACCAGCGAGACAGCUAACGAUUCCCCGAUUAGAGCUUUGUGCAGCUGUACUGGGAUGCAGAUUGCGAGAGACAAUUGAGCGAGAAAUGGAGUACUCCUUCAAAUCAAUAUUUCAUCUUGUCGACUCUGCAAUUGUCCGAGCACAAGUUCAAAAGGAAUCCUACGGGUUCGGUACGUUUGUCGCGACGAAGAUAGCUGAAAUUCAAAAUAAAUCUGAUCCGGGAGAAUGGUGGUGGAUAGCCACUCGGGACAAUCCCGCCGAUUUGGUGACAAGGCCCACUAGUCCCAAUCAAAUCGGACCCAAGUCUAUCUGGCAACAAGGGCCAGAUUUUUUACAAUUACCAGUGGAACAGUGGCCGAUAAGUCAAGCAGUACCAGACCAAGAGCUUCCAGACCGCAUCGGAGUACACGUGAUGAAUAUUGAAAAUCAAGAGGAAAAAGUGGGUAUAGGAGAAAUUGUAAACGUGGACAAGUUCAACAGUUACAACAAGCUGCUAGGAGUUACAGGACGAUUUAUACAGCUGAAAACGGACAAGACAUUGAAAUCCAUCAGCAAGUCACCAACUGCUGAGCAUCUGCAACAGGCAGAAGCAAUGUGGAUCGAACAUGUUCAAAAAGCGCUGUUGAAAACCGAUUGGAAAAUUCGAUUCCGACGUCUGGGACCGAGCAUUAACAGUGAUGGCGUCAUAGUUGUUGGACAAAGGAUAACGAAGUGGCUUAAAGACAAUUGGAACCAAGACGCAUUUGUCCUUCUUCCAGCAGACCACAGAUUCACCACAUUGUUUAUCAAACAUGUACAUGAUUGUGAUCAUGCUGGUGUUGAAGUGACAUUGGCCAAAGUGCAAAAGAAAUUUUGGGUUCCAAGAGCACGCAAAAUCAUCAAACAAAUCAAGAAUGAUUGUGUUACCUGCCGACGGAUCGACAAGAAGCUACAGAGUCAGGUCAUGGGAGAACUUACACUUGAAAGACUCCAACCAUCUCCGGCAUUCUAUCAUACCUCUCUGGACCUUUUUGGACCGUUUCUGAUAAGGGAUACGGUGAAGAAACGAACAAGAACGAAAGCCUAUGGGGUCAUUUUCACCUGCAUGGCUACCAGGGCGGUAUACCUCGAUAUAGUUGAUGGCUAUGCUGCCAAAGAUUUCUUGGUAACCUUUCGCCGUUUCGUGACAAUUCGAGGAUAUCCCGCAUCCAUUCAUUCGGAUAUGGGGUCACAAUUAGUUGCAGCCAACAAAGAGCUCCGGAAUAUGUCAGAAAACUUAGACUGGUCUGAAAUUUGUCGGUCUGGUGCAUUGCAAGGGCUGACAUGGACAUUCAACAAAUCAGCUGAUGCACCGUGGCAGAACGGCUGCAGCGAGUCAUUGAUCCGUCUCGUGAAGAGAGCCCUGUUGAUCGCUAUAGGAGAUAGCGUGCUCACGGUGGGAGAACUGCAAACUGUGCUCUUCGAAGUCGCUAACUUGUUGAAUGAAAGGCCGAUAGGUCACAGACCAGGGGCCGACCCAGAGCUUGGCUCUUAUCUGUGCCCAAAUGAUCUGAUUUUGGGACGAACGGGCAUUGCGGUCCCACAAGGGCCCUUGGCUACGACAGCAAAACUUUGUCACAGACAGCAAGCCAUUCAGCGAGUCGUGACAUCGUUUUGGAAAAAAAUGGCAACGGGACUAUUUCUCAACUUUACUCGUACGACAGAAAUGGCAUGUAGAGAAACGGGAUAUGAAAGCUGGUGACAUUGUCCUGGUCCAAGACAACAACGCACUUCGAGGGCAAUGGAAACUAGCGGAAGUAAAGGAGGCAUUGGUGGGUCAAGAUGGGAAAGUUAGAAACGUCAUACUAAGAUACAAAUGUCAGUCGCGCGACAAGAGCGAAUACACAGGGCAAGCUGACACAAUAAUCACACGAUCAGUACACCGCUUGGUUCUCAUCCUCGAAGCUGAAGAUCCUACCGGCGCUGAAGUCGUCGCUACCGGCGGGGGGAGUGUAUGAGGACCACUCGACCACGGCCGAACAUUUGAAUUGAGGCACCAGGAAUUUGCAAGUCUCGAGCCACAGCUGAUGAACAAAACAAUUUUCUGUAUAUGAUUGGUUUUGGAUCGACCGGCUAAUUUUGAUUAUUUUUUGACUUUUAGUUUAUGGCUGCAAUGAAGAUGAAACUUAUCGGCGAAGAUACAUGAACAUGAAAUUGAUUGUACCUUGAUUUGUUAUUUUCACGAUAAAUUAUACAUCGCAUUGCAGUGACCUUGUUUUUAUAAUUCGAAUUACAGAUGGGAGGGGGACAAACUGUAUUCGCCACCGACACUUAUCACCUCCAAACAAUGAGAUGACUGGCGCAAUGCGUAGCCCCCGCCACCCGUGACCGAUCCAGCGCUGCUCCGUCUGCUCAUCACUCACCGG